ACCAGAGGAUCUGCAUUGCACCUCUCAUGUGUCACCCGGACCUGAUGAGCCAUACAAGGAAUGUUGGUUAAAGAUGAGAUUUGAAGAACUCACACUGACACAUAUUUAUUGGGCACGACACAAAUGUGCUAUAUUAGUCUCCCUCACACCAGCUCAAAGUAACAUGUACACCAUGGACCAUUCGGUCCCAUAGAUCCCAUAGAUGACUGGGAAGAUUUGGGCCCAUUUAUAAUAGCAUGUUAACGCGCGGCCAAUUGGCAUUAAACAUCUGAUCGAUCC
Non-coding RNA from Xyrichtys novacula (pearly razorfish), 279 nucleotides. The record is from the annotation of a GenBank genome assembly. NCBI's taxonomy places the organism in Eukaryota, Metazoa, Chordata, Actinopteri, Labriformes, Labridae.